Cordylochernes scorpioides is the source of this 153-nucleotide non-coding RNA. NCBI's taxonomy places the organism in Eukaryota, Metazoa, Arthropoda, Arachnida, Pseudoscorpiones, Chernetidae. The record is from the annotation of a GenBank genome assembly.
GGGCGAAGCCGGGUACACAUCCGCUAGUAUAUGUAUAUGUAAAAAACAAUAGAAAAAAAAUAAUAAAAAGGUCAGGUGUUGAUAUGUAUAUGUUGAUUUUUAAAAAUUACUAUGACACGCGGAAGGUCCCAGGUUCGAGCCCUGGCAGAAACA